RNAcentral lists this ribosomal RNA (465 nucleotides) under uncultured Klebsiella sp. RNAcentral's name for it is "bacterial SSU rRNA". It matches the Rfam family "Bacterial small subunit ribosomal RNA", at positions 338 to 795 of the family's 1533-position model. Lineage: Bacteria; Pseudomonadati; Pseudomonadota; Gammaproteobacteria; Enterobacterales; Enterobacteriaceae. The record is from RNAcentral.
ACUACGGGAGGCUGCAGUGGGGAAUAUUGCACAAUGGGCGCAAGCCUGAUGCAGCCAUGCCGCGUGUGUGAAGAAGGCCUUCGGGUUGUAAAGCACUUUCAGCGGGGAGGAAGGCGGUGAGGUUAAUAACCUCAUCGAUUGACGUUACCCGCAGAAGAAGCACCGGCUAACUCCGUGCCAGCAGCCGCGGUAAUACGGAGGGUGCAAGCGUUAAUCGGAAUUACUGGGCGUAAAGCGCACGCAGGCGGUCUGUCAAGUCGGAUGUGAAAUCCCCGGGCUCAACCUGGGAACUGCAUUCGAAACUGGCAGGCUAGAGUCUUGUAGAGGGGGGUAGAAUUCCAGGUGUAGCGGUGAAAUGCGUAGAGAUCUGGAGGAAUACCGGUGGCGAAGGCGGCCCCCUGGACAAAGACUGACGCUCAGGUGCGAAAGCGUAGGGAGCAAACAGGAUUAGAUACCCCGGUAGUC